RNAcentral lists this ribosomal RNA (201 nucleotides) under uncultured bacterium. RNAcentral describes it as "partial 16S ribosomal RNA". It matches the Rfam family "Bacterial small subunit ribosomal RNA", at positions 524 to 724 of the family's 1533-position model. The record is from RNAcentral.
UACGUAGGGUGCAAGCGUUGUCCGGAAUUAUUGGGCGUAAAGAGCUCGUAGGCGGUUUGUCGCGUCUGCUGUGAAAACUGGAGGCUCAACCUCCAGCCUGCAGUGGGUACGGGCAAACUAGAGUGCGGUAGGGGAGAUUGGAAUUCCUGGUGUAGCGGUGGAAUGCGCAGAUAUCAGGAGGAACACCGAUGGCGAAGGCAG